CGGGGUGUAGCUUAGCCUGGUAGAGCGCCUGCUUUGGGAGCAGGAGGUCGGGAGUUCGAAUCUCCCCGCCCCGACCA
RNAcentral lists this transfer RNA (77 nucleotides) under Cephaloticoccus capnophilus. RNAcentral's name for it is "tRNA-Pro". It matches the Rfam family "tRNA". Rfam says of the family: Transfer RNA (tRNA) molecules are approximately 80 nucleotides in length. The record is from RNAcentral. Lineage: Bacteria; Pseudomonadati; Verrucomicrobiota; Opitutia; Opitutales; Opitutaceae.